This 229-nucleotide ribosomal RNA is filed under the name uncultured bacterium. RNAcentral's name for it is "partial 16S ribosomal RNA". It matches the Rfam family "Bacterial small subunit ribosomal RNA", at positions 118 to 347 of the family's 1533-position model. The record is from RNAcentral.
UGGGCAACCUGCCUCUAGCUCUGGGAUAACUCCGGGAAACCGGGGCUAAUACCGGAUACGACCUCGAGCGGCAUCUAUCGAGGUGGAAAGUUUUUCGGCUAGAGAUGGGCCCGCGGCCUAUCAGCUUGUUGGUGAGGUAACGGCCCACCAAGGCGACGACGGGUAGCCGGCCUGAGAGGGCGACCGGCCACACUGGGACUGAGACACGGCCCAGACUCCUACGGGAGCA